UACGUAGGUGGCAAGCGAUACUCGGAAUCACUAGGCGUAAAGCGCAGGUAGGAGGUUUGGUAAGUCUGUUGUGAAAGCUCCCGGCUUAACUGGGAGAGGUCAACGGAAACUACCAGGCUAGAGUGCGGUAGAGGUAGCUGGAAUUCCCGGUGUAGCGGUGAAAUGCGUAGAUAUCGGGAGGAAUACCUAUGGCGAAAGCAGGCUACUGGACCGUCACUGACUCUGAUCUGCGAAAGCUAGGGGAGCAAACAGG
This 253-nucleotide ribosomal RNA is filed under the name uncultured bacterium. RNAcentral describes it as "partial 16S ribosomal RNA". It matches the Rfam family "Bacterial small subunit ribosomal RNA", at positions 524 to 776 of the family's 1533-position model. The record is from RNAcentral.